AUUGAACGCUGGCGGCAGGCUUAACACAUGCAAGUCGAGCGGAGAGAGGUAGCUUGCUACUGAUCUUAGCGGCGGACGGGUGAGUAAUGCUUAGGAAUCUGCCUAUUAGUGGGGGACAACAUUUCGAAAGGAAUGCUAAUACCGCAUACGUCCUACGGGAGAAAGCAGGGGAUCUUCGGACCUUGCGCUAAUAGAUGAGCCUAAGUCGGAUUAGCUAGUUGGUGGGGUAAAGGCCUACCAAGGCGACGAUCUGUAGCGGGUCUGAGAGGAUGAUCCGCCACACUGGGACUGAGACACGGCCCAGACUCCUACGGGAGGCAGCAGUGGGGAAUAUUGGACAAUGGGCGCAAGCCUGAUCCAGCCAUGCCGCGUGUGUGAAGAAGGCCUUAUGGUUGUAAAGCACUUUAAGCGAGGAGGAGGCUACUUUAGUUAAUACCUAGAGAUAGUGGACGUUACUCGCAGAAUAAGCACCGGCUAACUCUGUGCCAGCAGCCGCCGUAA
This 501-nucleotide ribosomal RNA is filed under the name uncultured bacterium. RNAcentral's name for it is "partial 16S ribosomal RNA". It matches the Rfam family "Bacterial small subunit ribosomal RNA", at positions 30 to 523 of the family's 1533-position model. The record is from RNAcentral.